Corticium candelabrum is the source of this 942-nucleotide long non-coding RNA. RefSeq lists it as uncharacterized. The record is from RefSeq and is a predicted model, not a curated record. The transcript has 4 exons. Lineage: Eukaryota; Metazoa; Porifera; Homoscleromorpha; Homosclerophorida; Plakinidae.
AAGUUACAUGCUAUCUAGCUGAGCACAUGCCCAAGUUCCUUCUUGAAGCCAACAGCUACACGGAUGGAGAUCUAUAGUCUGCACAAGCGUAUCUCGAUGCAGACAGUGCUCUUCUAACCGAUGAAGGUCAAGACGAAUUGAAGAAACUAAUGAAGAGCAACAACGGCCAAGAAAAUAGCUGCAGUGAAUCUGAACAAGAACGAGUCGAGGCCGCCGAGCUGCUAUAGGGAGCCGAUAUGCCACUGGAGGAUCUCUUAGCGAAAUACGGAUGUGCAGGAAGAGUAGAAGAUACGGAUAGUAAAGAUAGUGGUGAUGGUCGUUCUUCGGAGGAAGGCGAUGAUAAGGAAGAUGAGGAUGGAGACAAGGAAUCUGAUAGUUAAGACAAGAAAACCAAGCUAUUGGUCAUCUGAAAUCAAUAGCUGCAGAUGCAGGACUGAAUGUCAACAUUGAAGAACUGGAAGAUGGAGGCUCAAGUUCGGGGACACAGAGAAAGAAACGUAAACCUACAAGAGUGACACGCACAACAACAAGAACAGUACGAGCUGUAGAUGAUGUUGGUUUAGGCAAUCUUGACCAAGAAGAAUCGAGAGACGAGAGUGGCAUCGAAUACGAUGAAGAGACAGUCAUUCCCGAGAAUCCUGAAGAGUCUGGUUCGUCAUCAAGCGACGAGGAAGAGGAAGACUCACAAUUAAAGACACCCAUGAAAGAGUGUGGGUUUGAAAGUGGCUCUAUAGCUGUGAUAGCUUUGCUUCGAGGACGAGAGCUUUAUGUUUCGAGUGCUGGUGACUCUCGGUGUGUCAUGUGCUGUAGAGGAGAGACGGUCGCUCUGAGUGUUGAUCAUAAGCCGGAAGAUGAGAAGGAAUUGAAGAGGAUUACUGAAGUGGUUGGGAUGGUGGAUCCCACAGGGAGAGUCAACAGAGGGUUGAAUUUGUCACGAGCUAU